UACGGAGGCCCCAAGCGUUGUUCGGAUUUAUUGGGCGUAAAGGGUGCGUAGGCGGCAUUGUAAGUCUGGUGUGAAAGGCGUGGGCUCAACCCGCGGACUGCAUUGGAUACUGCGAUGCUAGAGGACUGGAGAGGAGAAUGGAAUUCACGGUGGAGCAGUGAAAUGCGUAGAUAUCGUGAAGGAAGGCCAGUGGCGAAAGGCGAUUCUGCUGGACAGUAUCUACGUGAGGCACGA
Molecule: ribosomal RNA, 234 nt
Filed under: uncultured bacterium
Lineage: Bacteria
Description: partial 16S ribosomal RNA
Rfam family: Bacterial small subunit ribosomal RNA
Source: RNAcentral